Molecule: small RNA, 568 nt
Filed under: Histoplasma capsulatum
Lineage: Eukaryota; Fungi; Ascomycota; Eurotiomycetes; Onygenales; Ajellomycetaceae
Also listed under: 1 other name
Description: hypothetical RNA
Source: RNAcentral
CGCCCAAUUUGGUGAAAACACUGCCCGAUUAGUAAUUUUGAAGAUCGCUCAAGUGUUGAUGUGGCGAUGAGGUGAAUCUGGACCUUUCACCCAUGGUAACACCAAAACUGUAUCGAAUUCCCCAUUCUUGGAAGCGAGGAGAUCGCCAAAAUAGGUAAUCGCCUGGGACAUUGCAGUUAGUCAAACUAAAGAAUAGGCGAACUUACGCUUGGGCGAUUGCAGAAGUACUAACAUCCUCGUGGAAUCUCCGCUUCAAAUCCAUCUUUUCGUUGAUAUCAUGUUUCAAAAAUGGUGGGAGCCAAUACGUUUGAUCCCGAUUAAAGUUUGACAGAAAAGGAGUAGAAACAACGAAUAAUAUUGUCAUAAUUUCUUGUCAAAUCAAGUCUGUACAGACGAUUGGGCGCUUGAAAUGUCUUUCCAACUACAAGCUACUUUGUAAGUUGGACUGGCGCAAUCGAUGAGAAUAUGGCGGUGUCAAAUUUCUCGGCCAAAUUUAAGGUUACCUGCGCGGUCCGUUCUUGAACACGAAAACGGUUCCCCUCAAGCACCCGACGGAGACGAUCAUGCC